CCGAGCGGUCAAGAUGGCAGCCUACCGCUCUAGGGGACCCGGAAUCGAAUCCGGACAAAUCGAAAAAUCCCCAGGAAUUUUUCGGGGGUGAUCCGUCCGAAUAUAUCGGGGCUCCCGGUUACCACCCGGCUGUCUCAUUGUGAGCCUGCCCUUGCUAAAAGAGGCCCCCUUAGUGCCCACAAAGCGGAAAAAGUUAUAAAAAAAAGUUUUAAAAUAUAUUUUGCCCUGAAUAUUUUAUAAAUACAUUUAUAAUAUUUUUCUGGCUAGAGAGUGUAAGAUAAUUUUAAAUGAAAUACGAUAAAUUUCUCCCAUAAGGUUGGCAACGUGCUUUCCAUUAUCGUCUGUCGUCUCUUAAUUAAUUUUCGUGCCAUUACGUUCGCGUUGGCACGGUAGUCUACGUCAUCCGCAAUGUUAGGAAAGAUGGUAUUUGACUGAAGGAACUGGAAAAGGUCAUUUCAAGUUUAGAAUUUCUAGGGCACAAUUCAAGCUCCGAAUGAGGGGAUCGGAACUCAUUUUUCAGACAAGCGAGCUCAAGGAAGGCACUGCGCAUGACAGCCCAUCUACGUGGCCUUCCCUUAGCCAUAGAGAUGCAGCACACUCCGCGGGCCCAAUGGGGUUCCGUCCGCGAGUCACGUGACCCGCUUCACCGCCUCCGAGGUUAUAUAUAAGCCGUAUUCGCCGUCAUAUCCUCGCACCCAGGAUAUGUUAGUGCUAGCGAACGAUACGCCGUAUUCUUGCGAUAUCUCAUGGUCUCCCGCCAUUUUUGAAAAUUUAACAUCUUUCUACUUUCUUCGUUACCUCCCCACCGAACACAGAAAUUUUGCCAUCUCGUGGGCUCGUGCCACAUUCGGACCUAACCGUUUUCGUUCCGCCAUGCCCUAAGUGUGGAGGCACCGUGCGGAUUCCUGUCCCAGUUGCCAACAACAUCGGCAAAAUUCGGCUGUUUAUCGAGGACAUCGUUGAUGUCUACCUGGUACUCGGGCCCAGACGAUCGGUGCGCCCGUCUGCCGCCCGACGAGCCGUAUUUCGAUGUUCCCGUGCAGGAUGGCGGCCGCCCAACAACAUCGGGCGUCAACACCAUCUUAGUCAUCGAUCCCCAGGAACUAGCCGAGGCGGGGACCAGCGUCCUCACCUACGCAACAUCAGGAAUAGGCUAGGCGUCGCCAGGUAGAGAAAGGACGUGGCGGGAGACGAUCUUGAAGGUUUCAUCCGGAAAUAUAAUCAUGAAAAAACAUCAAUGUGCAAUAUGCAGCAAAUAUUUUCUGUGGAAUUCAAAAUAAACAGAACAGACUGUUAGCCACUCAACCGAAAAAAGUUUGAAUGUCAUCUGUGUAAAAAGCAUUACAAGUACAAAAAUUCUGUCAAAAGACAUUUCGAAAAUCAUAUAAAUUUAACAAACAUGGUAGGUAAUACUUAACAGGAUAUAUGAAAGAAAAACACUUUGAAUCAAAAAGAACAGAAUCGAAAGAAGAAAACAUUAAGAUCGACACACAAAGGACAAUGUAAUCAAAUACAUGAACGAGGUUAUUGUGUAACAGAAUGUCACAUGAUGGACAUUCUGUUACAUAAUAAUCUCGUUCAUGUGUUUGAUUAUAUUGACAAUCAUCAUGCUGUUAGAAAGUGAAAAUAUAUAAAAUUUUAUUAAAUACAGUACCUUUGUUAAUCUUUCUUACGGGAAUCGAAAGAAGAAAACAUUAAGAUCGACACACAGUGGACAAUGUAAUCAAAUACGUGAACGAGGUUAUUGUGUAACAGAAUAUCACAUGAUGGACAUUCUGUUACAUAAUAAUCUCGUUCAUGUGUUUGAUUAUAUUGACAAUCAUCAUGCUGUUAGAAAGUGAAAAUAUUUAAAAUUUUAUUAAAUACAGUACCUUUGUUAAUCUUUCUUACGGGAAUCGAAAGAAGAAAACAUUAAGAUCGACACACAGUGGACAAUGUAAUCAAAUACGUGAACGAGGUUAUUGUGUAACAGAAUAUCACAUGAUGGACAUUCUGUUACAUAAUAAUCUCGUUCAUGUGUUUGAUUAUAUUGACAAUCAUCAUGCUGUUAGAAAGUGAAAAUAUUUAAAAUUUUAUUAAAUACAGUACCUUUGUUAAUCUUUCUUACGGGAAUCGAAAGAAGAAAACAUUAAGAUCGACACACAGUGGACAAUGUAAUCAAAUACGUGAACGAGGUUAUUGUGUAACAGAAUAUCACAUGAUGGACAUUCUGUUACAUAAUAAUCUCGUUCAUGUGUUUGAUUAUAUUGACAAUCAUCAUGCUGUUAGAAAGUGAAAAUAUUUAAAAUUUUAUUAAAUACAGUACCUUUGUUAAUCUUUCUUACGGGAAUCGAAAGAAGAAAACAUUAAGAUCGACACACAGUGGACAAUGUAAUCAAAUACGUGAACGAGGUUAUUGUGUAACAGAAUAUCACAUGAUGGACAUUCUGUUACAUAAUAAUCUCGUUCAUGUGUUUGAUUAUAUUGACAAUCAUCAUGCUGUUAGAAAGUGAAAAUAUUUAAAAUUUUAUUAAAUACAGUACCUUUGUUAAUCUUUCUUACGGGAAUCGAAAGAAGAAAACAUUAAGAUCGACACACAGUGGACAAUGUAAUCAAAUACGUGAACGAGGUUAUUGUGUAACAGAAUAUCACAUGAUGGACAUUCUGUUACAUAAUAAUCUCGUUCAUGUGUUUGAUUAUAUUGACAAUCAUCAUGCUGUUAGAAAGUGAAAAUAUUUAAAAUUUUAUUAAAUACAGUACCUUUGUUAAUCUUUCUUACGGGAAUCGAAAGAAGAAAACAUUAAGAUCGACACACAGUGGACAAUGUAAUCAAAUACGUGAACGAGGUUAUUGUGUAACAGAAUAUCACAUGAUGGACAUUCUGUUACAUAAUAAUCUCGUUCAUGUGUUUGAUUAUAUUGACAAUCAUCAUGCUGUUAGAAAGUGAAAAUAUUUAAAAUUUUAUUAAAUACAGUACCUUUGUUAAUCUUUCUUACGGGAAUCGAAAGAAGAAAACAUUAAGAUCGACACACAGUGGACAAUGUAAUCAAAUACGUGAACGAGGUUAUUGUGUAACAGAAUAUCACAUGAUGGACAUUCUGUUACAUAAUAAUCUCGUUCAUGUGUUUGAUUAUAUUGACAAUCAUCAUGCUGUUAGAAAGUGAAAAUAUUUAAAAUUUUAUUAAAUACAGUACCUUUGUUAAUCUUUCUUACGGGAAUCGAAAGAAGAAAACAUUAAGAUCGACACACAGUGGACAAUGUAAUCAAAUACGUGAACGAGGUUAUUGUGUAACAGAAUAUCACAUGAUGGACAUUCUGUUACAUAAUAAUCUCGUUCAUGUGUUUGAUUAUAUUGACAAUCAUCAUGCUGUUAGAAAGUGAAAAUAUUUAAAAUUUUAUUAAAUACAGUACCUUUGUUAAUCUUUCUUACGGGAAUCGAAAGAAGAAAACAUUAAGAUCGACACACAGUGGACAAUGUAAUCAAAUACGUGAACGAGGUUAUUGUGUAACAGAAUAUCACAUGAUGGACAUUCUGUUACAUAAUAAUCUCGUUCAUGUGUUUGAUUAUAUUGACAAUCAUCAUGCUGUUAGAAAGUGAAAAUAUUUAAAAUUUUAUUAAAUACAGUACCUUUGUUAAUCUUUCUUACGGGAAUCGAAAGAAGAAAACAUUAAGAUCGACACACAGUGGACAAUGUAAUCAAAUACGUGAACGAGGUUAUUGUGUAACAGAAUAUCACAUGAUGGACAUUCUGUUACAUAAUAAUCUCGUUCAUGUGUUUGAUUAUAUUGACAAUCAUCAUGCUGUUAGAAAGUGAAAAUAUUUAAAAUUUUAUUAAAUACAGUACCUUUGUUAAUCUUUCUUACGGGAAUCGAAAGAAGAAAACAUUAAGAUCGACACACAGUGGACAAUGUAAUCAAAUACGUGAACGAGGUUAUUGUGUAACAGAAUAUCACAUGAUGGACAUUCUGUUACAUAAUAAUCUCGUUCAUGUGUUUGAUUAUAUUGACAAUCAUCAUGCUGUUAGAAAGUGAAAAUAUUUAAAAUUUUAUUAAAUACAGUACCUUUGUUAAUCUUUCUUACGGGAAUCGAAAGAAGAAAACAUUAAGAUCGACACACAGUGGACAAUGUAAUCAAAUACGUGAACGAGGUUAUUGUGUAACAGAAUAUCACAUGAUGGACAUUCUGUUACAUAAUAAUCUCGUUCAUGUGUUUGAUUAUAUUGACAAUCAUCAUGCUGUUAGAAAGUGAAAAUAUUUAAAAUUUUAUUAAAUACAGUACCUUUGUUAAUCUUUCUUACGGGAAUCGAAAGAAGAAAACAUUAAGAUCGACACACAGUGGACAAUGUAAUCAAAUACGUGAACGAGGUUAUUGUGUAACAGAAUAUCACAUGAUGGACAUUCUGUUACAUAAUAAUCUCGUUCAUGUGUUUGAUUAUAUUGACAAUCAUCAUGCUGUUAGAAAGUGAAAAUAUUUAAAAUUUUAUUAAAUACAGUACCUUUGUUAAUCUUUCUUACGGGAAUCGAAAGAAGAAAACAUUAAGAUCGACACACAGUGGACAAUGUAAUCAAAUACGUGAACGAGGUUAUUGUGUAACAGAAUAUCACAUGAUGGACAUUCUGUUACAUAAUAAUCUCGUUCAUGUGUUUGAUUAUAUUGACAAUCAUCAUGCUGUUAGAAAGUGAAAAUAUUUAAAAUUUUAUUAAAUACAGUACCUUUGUUAAUCUUUCUUACGGGAAUCGAAAGAAGAAAACAUUAAGAUCGACACACAGUGGACAAUGUAAUCAAAUACGUGAACGAGGUUAUUGUGUAACAGAAUAUCACAUGAUGGACAUUCUGUUACAUAAUAAUCUCGUUCAUGUGUUUGAUUAUAUUGACAAUCAUCAUGCUGUUAGAAAGUGAAAAUAUUUAAAAUUUUAUUAAAUACAGUACCUUUGUUAAUCUUUCUUACGGGAAUCGAAAGAAGAAAACAUUAAGAUCGACACACAGUGGACAAUGUAAUCAAAUACGUGAACGAGGUUAUUGUGUAACAGAAUAUCACAUGAUGGACAUUCUGUUACAUAAUAAUCUCGUUCAUGUGUUUGAUUAUAUUGACAAUCAUCAUGCUGUUAGAAAGUGAAAAUAUUUAAAAUUUUAUUAAAUACAGUACCUUUGUUAAUCUUUCUUACGGGAAUCGAAAGAAGAAAACAUUAAGAUCGACACACAGUGGACAAUGUAAUCAAAUACGUGAACGAGGUUAUUGUGUAACAGAAUAUCACAUGAUGGACAUUCUGUUACAUAAUAAUCUCGUUCAUGUGUUUGAUUAUAUUGACAAUCAUCAUGCUGUUAGAAAGUGAAAAUAUUUAAAAUUUUAUUAAAUACAGUACCUUUGUUAAUCUUUCUUACGGGAAUCGAAAGAAGAAAACAUUAAGAUCGACACACAGUGGACAAUGUAAUCAAAUACGUGAACGAGGUUAUUGUGUAACAGAAUAUCACAUGAUGGACAUUCUGUUACAUAAUAAUCUCGUUCAUGUGUUUGAUUAUAUUGACAAUCAUCAUGCUGUUAGAAAGUGAAAAUAUUUAAAAUUUUAUUAAAUACAGUACCUUUGUUAAUCUUUCUUACGGGAAUCGAAAGAAGAAAACAUUAAGAUCGACACACAGUGGACAAUGUAAUCAAAUACGUGAACGAGGUUAUUGUGUAACAGAAUAUCACAUGAUGGACAUUCUGUUACAUAAUAAUCUCGUUCAUGUGUUUGAUUAUAUUGACAAUCAUCAUGCUGUUAGAAAGUGAAAAUAUUUAAAAUUUUAUUAAAUACAGUACCUUUGUUAAUCUUUCUUACGGGAAUCGAAAGAAGAAAACAUUAAGAUCGACACACAGUGGACAAUGUAAUCAAAUACGUGAACGAGGUUAUUGUGUAACAGAAUAUCACAUGAUGGACAUUCUGUUACAUAAUAAUCUCGUUCAUGUGUUUGAUUAUAUUGACAAUCAUCAUGCUGUUAGAAAGUGAAAAUAUUUAAAAUUUUAUUAAAUACAGUACCUUUGUUAAUCUUUCUUACGGGAAUCGAAAGAAGAAAACAUUAAGAUCGACACACAGUGGACAAUGUAAUCAAAUACGUGAACGAGGUUAUUGUGUAACAGAAUAUCACAUGAUGGACAUUCUGUUACAUAAUAAUCUCGUUCAUGUGUUUGAUUAUAUUGACAAUCAUCAUGCUGUUAGAAAGUGAAAAUAUUUAAAAUUUUAUUAAAUACAGUACCUUUGUUAAUCUUUCUUACGGGAAUCGAAAGAAGAAAACAUUAAGAUCGACACACAGUGGACAAUGUAAUCAAAUACGUGAACGAGGUUAUUGUGUAACAGAAUAUCACAUGAUGGACAUUCUGUUACAUAAUAAUCUCGUUCAUGUGUUUGAUUAUAUUGACAAUCAUCAUGCUGUUAGAAAGUGAAAAUAUUUAAAAUUUUAUUAAAUACAGUACCUUUGUUAAUCUUUCUUACGGGAAUCGAAAGAAGAAAACAUUAAGAUCGACACACAGUGGACAAUGUAAUCAAAUACGUGAACGAGGUUAUUGUGUAACAGAAUAUCACAUGAUGGACAUUCUGUUACAUAAUAAUCUCGUUCAUGUGUUUGAUUAUAUUGACAAUCAUCAUGCUGUUAGAAAGUGAAAAUAUUUAAAAUUUUAUUAAAUACAGUACCUUUGUUAAUCUUUCUUACGGGAAUCGAAAGAAGAAAACAUUAAGAUCGACACACAGUGGACAAUGUAAUCAAAUACGUGAACGAGGUUAUUGUGUAACAGAAUAUCACAUGAUGGACAUUCUGUUACAUAAUAAUCUCGUUCAUGUGUUUGAUUAUAUUGACAAUCAUCAUGCUGUUAGAAAGUGAAAAUAUUUAAAAUUUUAUUAAAUACAGUACCUUUGUUAAUCUUUCUUACGGGAAUCGAAAGAAGAAAACAUUAAGAUCGACACACAGUGGACAAUGUAAUCAAAUACGUGAACGAGGUUAUUGUGUAACAGAAUAUCACAUGAUGGACAUUCUGUUACAUAAUAAUCUCGUUCAUGUGUUUGAUUAUAUUGACAAUCAUCAUGCUGUUAGAAAGUGAAAAUAUUUAAAAUUUUAUUAAAUACAGUACCUUUGUUAAUCUUUCUUACGGGAAUCGAAAGAAGAAAACAUUAAGAUCGACACACAGUGGACAAUGUAAUCAAAUACGUGAACGAGGUUAUUGUGUAACAGAAUAUCACAUGAUGGACAUUCUGUUACAUAAUAAUCUCGUUCAUGUGUUUGAUUAUAUUGACAAUCAUCAUGCUGUUAGAAAGUGAAAAUAUUUAAAAUUUUAUUAAAUACAGUACCUUUGUUAAUCUUUCUUACGGGAAUCGAAAGAAGAAAACAUUAAGAUCGACACACAGUGGACAAUGUAAUCAAAUACGUGAACGAGGUUAUUGUGUAACAGAAUAUCACAUGAUGGACAUUCUGUUACAUAAUAAUCUCGUUCAUGUGUUUGAUUAUAUUGACAAUCAUCAUGCUGUUAGAAAGUGAAAAUAUUUAAAAUUUUAUUAAAUACAGUACCUUUGUUAAUCUUUCUUACGGGAAUCGAAAGAAGAAAACAUUAAGAUCGACACACAGUGGACAAUGUAAUCAAAUACGUGAACGAGGUUAUUGUGUAACAGAAUAUCACAUGAUGGACAUUCUGUUACAUAAUAAUCUCGUUCAUGUGUUUGAUUAUAUUGACAAUCAUCAUGCUGUUAGAAAGUGAAAAUAUUUAAAAUUUUAUUAAAUACAGUACCUUUGUUAAUCUUUCUUACGGGAAUCGAAAGAAGAAAACAUUAAGAUCGACACACAGUGGACAAUGUAAUCAAAUACGUGAACGAGGUUAUUGUGUAACAGAAUAUCACAUGAUGGACAUUCUGUUACAUAAUAAUCUCGUUCAUGUGUUUGAUUAUAUUGACAAUCAUCAUGCUGUUAGAAAGUGAAAAUAUUUAAAAUUUUAUUAAAUACAGUACCUUUGUUAAUCUUUCUUACGGGAAUCGAAAGAAGAAAACAUUAAGAUCGACACACAGUGGACAAUGUAAUCAAAUACGUGAACGAGGUUAUUGUGUAACAGAAUAUCACAUGAUGGACAUUCUGUUACAUAAUAAUCUCGUUCAUGUGUUUGAUUAUAUUGACAAUCAUCAUGCUGUUAGAAAGUGAAAAUAUUUAAAAUUUUAUUAAAUACAGUACCUUUGUUAAUCUUUCUUACGGGAAUCGAAAGAAGAAAACAUUAAGAUCGACACACAGUGGACAAUGUAAUCAAAUACGUGAACGAGGUUAUUGUGUAACAGAAUAUCACAUGAUGGACAUUCUGUUACAUAAUAAUCUCGUUCAUGUGUUUGAUUAUAUUGACAAUCAUCAUGCUGUUAGAAAGUGAAAAUAUUUAAAAUUUUAUUAAAUACAGUACCUUUGUUAAUCUUUCUUACGGGAAUCGAAAGAAGAAAACAUUAAGAUCGACACACAGUGGACAAUGUAAUCAAAUACGUGAACGAGGUUAUUGUGUAACAGAAUAUCACAUGAUGGACAUUCUGUUACAUAAUAAUCUCGUUCAUGUGUUUGAUUAUAUUGACAAUCAUCAUGCUGUUAGAAAGUGAAAAUAUUUAAAAUUUUAUUAAAUACAGUACCUUUGUUAAUCUUUCUUACGGGAAUCGAAAGAAGAAAACAUUAAGAUCGACACACAGUGGACAAUGUAAUCAAAUACGUGAACGAGGUUAUUGUGUAACAGAAUAUCACAUGAUGGACAUUCUGUUACAUAAUAAUCUCGUUCAUGUGUUUGAUUAUAUUGACAAUCAUCAUGCUGUUAGAAAGUGAAAAU
Molecule: long non-coding RNA, 8789 nt
Organism: Centruroides sculpturatus (bark scorpion)
Lineage: Eukaryota; Metazoa; Arthropoda; Arachnida; Scorpiones; Buthidae
Exons: 6
Source: RefSeq, a predicted model, not a curated record